Molecule: long non-coding RNA, 1207 nt
Filed under: Monodelphis domestica (gray short-tailed opossum)
Lineage: Eukaryota; Metazoa; Chordata; Mammalia; Didelphimorphia; Didelphidae
Description: lncRNA (ENSMODG00000042789.1)
Source: RNAcentral
CCUGUUUGUGCAUCUCUCAAUCUCUGUGUAUGUCAUUUGUGUUUUAAAAUAUUGAUGUCUGUCUAAACCCAAUAGCAAGAAUGCAAGUUGCAACAUUCCAUGUACAGCAUCAGUCUUGGCCAUUUAAUUUUGCAAAUGUGCUAGGUAAAAUGGAGAAUCCUCUUCCUAGGGCUGCAAUCUUAUAAACUGUGAAUUUCUCUAUAAUUGUUCAUUCAAAAGUAACAUCCUUCAACUCGUUAACUUGGAAAUAAUGCCAAACUAUCAAAUAGUCAGAAAAACUCAAAACUUUAACCACAAUUUCACCUUCAAAUCAAUGUUGAAAUUCAUAUUUAAAAGUUUCAAACAAGCACACAGACACACGCAUACACACCCACACCCACACCCACUACCCCCCCACACACACAUACACACCCUCCCAAUCUAAUUUUGGGGACGUGGGGAUGUUCGGGAUAAAAAACUGUUUUCAUUCCCCUUUAACUCCUGAACAAAUAUAAUCAUGCCAGUCCGUAGACCAAAAUGAUUGUUAAAAUAAGCCCCAUAUCUUAGCCCUUGCCUUUCUGAGGAUUUCAUCAUAGGAUGACAGAACAUUUGAUCAAACAGGAGAAAAGUGGGAAGUAACUUACAAUAGGGGAGAAAAGCUCCCUAAUUUGAAUACAAAUGUCAGGUAUAAGUUGGUAAAGAUCAGCAGUCAGCUGUAGAACUUGAUAGAAACUUAGCUAAGCCAUUCCUCAGCCCUUCCAUUGGCCCUUGUGACUGUAUCCUAACCCAUUUUCCUCCAUAGCAUUUCUUUUCCCCAUGAUCUUUCCAAAGAAUUCACCUAUAGAUCUCAAUUCUCUCUCGACAUGCUAAGAUUAUCUUUCUUACUACCAAUUCCUUCUAGGCUCCAUCAUUUCUUUCCUAACGUCUUCUGAUUCGACUUUGAGACAACCCAGCACUCUGGAAUCUUUGCUGUGACUUCUCCAAUGGACAGAUGUUCCGUUCCAUCCUCCUAACGAGGUUUCUACCCAAACAUAUCGGAAUAAGUGGUUGCAGGCAAGCAAAGCAUAUGAUGGUGCCCCUGUGGUUUUCAGAUGGCUCAGCAGAUGUAUUUGGUUCAAGAUUGGAGGGGGAGUGGCAGACAUACAGUUUGGCCAGUGAGGUGAGUGGCUGUAGCAGACUGCAUGAUGGGCCUCCAUUUUCAAGAGGAGACACAUUCUCAUUGAUACAU